UGAGGUCGCUAAAGCCGUUCCCCAUAUCUCCUCUCCCAUUCUCAUAGCUCUAGGGUUCCAUGGCGAUUUCCGUGGCGGAGGUCGACCGCGACCGUUCCGCUCGUCGCCGGAGGGCGAAAGCGCGCUGGAGGAAGGCUCGCUCGACGACGAAGGGCGUGCCGCGCGGUAGUGCGGCGUGCUCUCCGUCGGGGAGCGAGGUUUCCGGUCAGGGACGAGGUCGAUUCGGUGGCGGAGGUUGACCACGACUGCUCUGCUCGUCGCGGGAGUGCGAGAGCGCGUGGGAGGAAGGCUCACCGCCGGCGAAGGGUGAGCCGCGCGGUAGAGUGGCGUGUUCUGCAUCGGGCAGCGAGGUUUCCGGUCGGACGGCGAGCUCUGCAGCAUGGACGGGGAAGAUCUAGUUGUGGGCGUCGUCUUGCUGCGAGGUGACAAGUUAUGCGAAGAAUUCUGACCAGGUCGACUUACAGAGCACAUUGUAAUAAAUAAGGAGAAUGACAGGCGUUCCCGACUGCAGUUAGUUCCUGACUGCAGUUAAGACAAGUUGCUGGAGCAGCAGCAGAAAGACUAUUGUUGUCCCAAUUGCAAAUUUGGCUCCAAAACAGGAGUUCUUCUUGGCGAGAGGGAUGGCGAGAGAGAGAGGGUUGUUGGGGCAGGGGGUGAAGUUGUACCGUGGGGUGGUAGAUGUAGACAUGGUCCACGUGUUGUUCUUUUGUCUAAACGUGCAUCCUUUUGUAAUGGGCUAUUAUUUCUUGUUCCAGAUCGGGUGCUGUGCCGGACAAACCAGCACCCGGAUGUUGGGUUUGCCAAA
Long non-coding RNA from Lolium rigidum, 805 nucleotides. RefSeq lists it as uncharacterized. The record is from RefSeq and is a predicted model, not a curated record. The transcript is spliced from 2 exons. Lineage: Eukaryota; Viridiplantae; Streptophyta; Magnoliopsida; Poales; Poaceae.